Small nucleolar RNA from Sphaeramia orbicularis (orbiculate cardinalfish), 133 nucleotides. Ensembl annotates it as small nucleolar RNA SNORA5. The record is from Ensembl. NCBI's taxonomy places the organism in Eukaryota, Metazoa, Chordata, Actinopteri, Kurtiformes, Apogonidae.
UGCAGUCUUGUCAAAUUCAGUGUGUUCAUUUCAGUGAACAACACUGGCCAAAAUGGCUGCCACAGGAAAUGUAGUUCAUGGGCCCCAUGUCCUCCUGUGGACACUGGGGAUAAAUCUGUGAUUACAGACAAAG